RNAcentral lists this unclassified non-coding RNA (445 nucleotides) under Hevea brasiliensis (rubber tree). The record is from RNAcentral. Lineage: Eukaryota; Viridiplantae; Streptophyta; Magnoliopsida; Malpighiales; Euphorbiaceae.
GGCACUUGAGAUUCUAUGGAAACUACCGGGGCUGGCUUCGGUGGUACGAGGACGAGACAUUUCUGCCUCGGUCCCCGUAACCACGUCCCGGCUGCUAGAAACAGCAGCUCGCCUGGAAUAUCCGCUUGACUGGCCCAAAAAAGUUGAACUGGAUAGCAUAGCUUCUUUUGUAACAGCUGGAUCAUUUCCCACCGGGCUUUUUUGCUUUGAUAAGCCCCCCGAAUUUACAAGCCCUGCCGAAAUACGCCGACGAGAAGGGUCUGUUCCCGACAAACCACUGGUCCUUCCUUCUUCAGCACCUGACUGCCUCUCAAUAUUGGAAAUGGCAGGAACCAGCCCAGAGCUAGGUCCAGCACUAGACCCAAGUGGCCGGGGAGGAGCAUUUGCCAUCUGUGACUGCUGAUACUUUAAGAUGGUCCAAUCAAAUACAUAAUCAAACUGAAAA